This 495-nucleotide ribosomal RNA is filed under the name uncultured bacterium. RNAcentral describes it as "partial 16S ribosomal RNA". It matches the Rfam family "Bacterial small subunit ribosomal RNA", at positions 28 to 507 of the family's 1533-position model. The record is from RNAcentral.
GACGAACGCUGGCGGCGUGCCUAAUACAUGCAAGUAGAACGCUGAAGGAGGAGCUUGCUCUUCUGGAUGAGUUGCGAACGGGUGAGUAACGCGUAGGUAACCUGCCUGGUAGCGGGGGAUAACUAUUGGAAACGAUAGCUAAUACCGCAUAAGAGUAGAUGUUGCAUGACAUUUGCUUAAAAGGUGCAAUUGCAUCACUACCAGAUGGACCUGCGUUGUAUUAGCUAGUUGGUGGGGUAACGGCUCACCAAGGCGACGAUACAUAGCCGACCUGAGAGGGUGAUCGGCCACACUGGGACUGAGACACGGCCCAGACUCCUACGGGAGGCAGCAGUAGGGAAUCUUCGGCAAUGGACGGAAGUCUGACCGAGCAACGCCGCGUGAGUGAAGAAGGUUUUCGGAUCGUAAAGCUCUGUUGUAAGAGAAGAACGAGUGUGAGAGUGGAAAGUUCACACUGUGACGGUAUCUUACCAGAAAGAGACGGCUAACUACGUG